Small nuclear RNA from Molossus molossus (Pallas's mastiff bat), 162 nucleotides. RefSeq annotates it as U1 spliceosomal RNA. The record is from RefSeq and is a predicted model, not a curated record. The transcript has a single exon. Lineage: Eukaryota; Metazoa; Chordata; Mammalia; Chiroptera; Molossidae.
AUACUUACCUGGCAGGGGAGACACCAUGAUACCAAAGCAGGUUUCUCAGGGCGAGGCUUAUCCAUUUCACUCCGGAUGUGAUGACGCCUGAGAUUUCUCCAAAUGUGGGAAACUCGACCGCAUAAUUUGUGGUAGUGAGAGACUGCGUUCAUGUUUCACUCU